This is a long non-coding RNA of Myotis myotis, 2301 nucleotides long. RefSeq lists it as uncharacterized. The record is from RefSeq and is a predicted model, not a curated record. Lineage: Eukaryota; Metazoa; Chordata; Mammalia; Chiroptera; Vespertilionidae. The transcript is spliced from 3 exons.
GACCAGAUGGUGACACUGCUCCAACUGGCAAUCAACCCUUUGGUGGUGCCAAACCACCCUUGCAGCUGGGAAACCUUCUUGCGUUAAGUUUGAUCCUUCCUGCCAGGAGUUAAACUUUGUUGAUGAUGCACAGACGAGGCAGAGUCAAGGGAAGUAAGCCUCUAAAAUGAUGGUUGGGACUAUCUGGGAAAAGAAGACCCUCAAAAAACAUCCUCAAGCUUUCAGCAGACAGCCCUUGAGACUUCUCUCCUACUGCCAUCACUAGGACUUCUAAGGAUCCAGAUGGGGUGAGGAGGAAUGCUACAGAAGAUGCAGACACCCACCUGAGCCCGAAUGGAGAAAACGUAUCAACCAUCAGACACAGGCCAAGUGUUGGAGUGGGGACAUGAGGCCAGCACCACUAAGAGGCCAAGACAGGGAGCACACACUGAUACUGUGUGUGUGUGUGUGUGAUACUGUGUGUGUUCGAGUGUGUUCAGUGGGAUCUGUAGGUCUAAGGGUUCCUGAAGGGCCUACAUUCCCAGGUUCUCUCUCACUUGCCAGGUUCCUCCUAGAACUUUGCUGUUCGGACCCUUUGGAUUUCUCUGGGCUGCAUUCCUUAAGGUCUGAUUGCUUCUUUCUUGUGGCUGGAAGGAUAUGUUCCCAGUGGAGCCCUCCAAUAGGGUUCUCUGUGCACACACUCCCUUGGGGUGGCCCCCUGGGGAGCCCCAUGGCACACUCCUGGGUCAGCAGGUGAGCCACAGCAGCAGAGUCCCCCACACAGUCCAGGGCCACAGGUCCCCACUCCCCAUUCCUGCACCUGGAGAAACAGGUGGAACAGCCAAGAGAAGCAUCAUUGGCUGCUCCACAGUGUUUGUUUUGGGGCAAGAUGAAAACAUUUGCACCCAUCAUGGUCCCAAUUUCUUUAAAUAAGAAAACACAAGAAAGUCAAAAUGAUAUUUAUUUGGGCUGAGAAGUAAAGAGAAACUAAAUCACUGAUCUGAAAAGCAAAGUGGAAAGAACCAACAACAGCAAACUAGCUCUGCCUUAACCCUUUCCCAGCUGAGCUCUUGUCUCCAUAUCGUGCUAUUAUUCUUGAAUCAAGAAUGUAGCUUCCACAGUGUUUAGUCUGUAUGAAGGUCCCUUUGCCAGAACUCAGUUCCUUUCCAACUCACUUUUUUUUUUUGAGGAUUAACAAAAAGGAAAAGAAAGCAAGCUGUCCAUAUACCUAUGUCUCUCACAUGAAGACAACCAGGGAUUGUCUUUCUCUCCCACAAGAUAGGCCCUGCUGUCCUAGGCUUCCCCAGCCCAGGGACAGAGGGGGACACUGGAAUUGAGGGAUGGGGGAGAAUUGCAGGACCUGAAGCAGCAAGGAGAUCCCCCCAGGACCUUAGAGGGAAGGCCGGGGAGUAGAAGCUGAAGUAGCAAGAGAAGGGGAGGGAGAAAGAGCAGAGAAGGAACGUGCUAGGAUGACAGGGAAUAAAACAGAGAAGCACCUUCCCAACAGCUGGGACACAGGCCAGGAAGGGACCCUAGCCGAGGUCUUAGAGGCCUCACCUUCAUAUUCAAGACCCGGGCAGAGGAGGAGCUGAGCAGGCCCAACAAAGCAUCCGAAUGUACUUAAUGCCAUUGGCCUGUAUAUUUACUAGUAAAGAUGGUCCGAUGGUAAAUCUUAUGUUGUUAUGUUUUACCACAAUAAAAAAGAGAAAGAAAAAAUAAAGGUACAAUCACUUUGGAAAGCAGUCCAGCAGCCUCCUCAAAAGGUUAAACAUAUGACCCAGCAAUUCCACUCCCAGCUUUGUACCAGGAGAAGUGAAAACAUAUGCCCACAUGAAAACUUGUACACAAAUGUUCACAGCAGCGUUAUCCAUAAUAACCAAAACAUGGAAACAAUCCACAUGUCCUUGAACUGAUGAAUGAACAAACAAAAAUGUGGUAACAUUCAUACAAUGGAAUACAAUUCGGCCCUCAAGGAAUGAAGUCUUGUUUCAUGCUACAAAGUGGAUGCGCCUCAAAAACAUUCUGCUGAAAGAAGCCAAUCACAGAAGACCACAUGUUGUAUAGAGCUGUUUACAUGUAAUGGCCAGAAUAUAGGCAAGUCUGUAGUGACAGAAAGCUUGGUGGUUGCCUAGAGCUGGGAAGGGUUGAAGGGAAAUGGGAAGUGACUGCUAACAGGUAUGGGGUUUCUUUCUGCGGUGAUGAAAAUGUUCUGGAAUUAGUAGUGAUGGUUGCACAGCUUUAUGAAUAUUCUAAAACCCACUAAAUUAGACACAUUAAAAGGAUAAAUCUUAUUGUAUGUGAAUGAUAUAUAAUUGUAAAAAA